Long non-coding RNA from Ostrinia nubilalis (European corn borer), 915 nucleotides. RefSeq lists it as uncharacterized. NCBI's taxonomy places the organism in Eukaryota, Metazoa, Arthropoda, Insecta, Lepidoptera, Crambidae. The record is from RefSeq and is a predicted model, not a curated record. The transcript is spliced from 3 exons.
CAGUCUGUCUAUAAAGUCGUGACAUGAAUGUUUGAGGAACUAACAUUAUUCAUGUGUCUGGCAACACCAAAGAUCACCAAACAUAUGUACAUCAGCUGUCAUCGAGAACAACUUGUGGAACGAUUUUCAUUUUGUGGUUUUUAUUGUUUGACUAAUCUCCUGUAAAUUAUUACUCAGCUACGAAGAAAAGUAUAAACAAUGAGUAAAGUAAAUUGGAGUGCCACGCGGAAAGUGAUUUUUAAAGUUUUCCAGCAAUGUUCCGCGGAGUACCAAGCUGGUCAAAUUUUGUGGGAUUUUGAUGUUUUUUAUGGGCGAACAGCAUCUUUGACGGGAAAAUCAGAGAGUACAGUUAAGCGCAUAGUCAAUGAAGGUUUUCAGAAUAAUGGAAAAUUUAGAACUCCUGGGAAACACAGGCAAGGCCGACCAAAGAAAGAAAUGGAUAAUUUUAAUAUUUGUGCUCUGCGCCAAAAAAUAUAAUUUUUUACACGGUACAAAAAGAGGUCACAAAAUGUUCGCAAUCUCUAAACAUCAAAGGCAUCACAAAAGACAUUUUCAAAGGAAAGCGUUACAUCAUAGUCCAUGCUGGAAGCGAAAAGGGGUUUGUGCCAAACUGCCUCCUCAUAUUCACUGGCAGAAAUAAUUUGGAAGACUACCAUUCAGAAAUGAAUGCGCAUAACUUCACGAAGUGGAUUAAAGAAAAACUAAUACCAAAUCUUCAUGAGCCUUCCAUUAUAUUUAUGGACCUGUACCAAGACAAUUGGUUAUUUGCUUAGGCGAUAAUAACAGCAGCGAAGAUGAUGAUGUGAAUGAUGACAGCGCUGCUUAUGAAAGUGGCAACGAAACUUUUCUUAACAUCGAAAAUUUGGAAUCCGAUGAUGAAAGUGAUUAAUAAAUGUCCUUAUUAACUAUGUAUAA